GAUGGAUGUUUUAGCUAAAGCGUUUCAGCUGGAUGUGUUAGGUUUCUCGAAGGAAGGUUUUCUUCUAAUUAUGAUUAUCAUUAAUAAUAAGUUUGAAGAAGGGAAUAUUUCGAUUCUACCACAAGUUUGAUACCAAAGAAAAGUUAAAAGAAUGACGCGAAAAUUUAAAAUAUGAAUAAAUGGUGUGUGAAAACUAAAACAAAACAAUUAAGGUGGUAAAGACGUGUUAUCAUCACUCUCUC
This 242-nucleotide long non-coding RNA is filed under the name Brassica napus (rape). RNAcentral's name for it is "long non-coding RNA (BNAP_LNC018728)". The record is from RNAcentral. Lineage: Eukaryota; Viridiplantae; Streptophyta; Magnoliopsida; Brassicales; Brassicaceae.